This 1041-nucleotide long non-coding RNA is filed under the name Calidris pugnax (ruff). RNAcentral describes it as "lncRNA (ENSCPUG00000007487.1)". Lineage: Eukaryota; Metazoa; Chordata; Aves; Charadriiformes; Scolopacidae. The record is from RNAcentral.
AGUUUUUUUGCCCCCGAUGUCACCUUGAUUGCCGAGCCCUAAUUAGAGCCGCAGGAUAAGCCCCGCGCUCCGUCUGUUUAGCGGCGUUUAAGCACCUUUGGCGGCGUUGCGUUUCGCAAAUGCCAUUUUUUUAGUGGUGGGGUUUUUUUAUUAUUAUUAAUGAAUUUUUUUUUAAAUUACUUUUAUUAAUUUGGAGGGGUUUUCCAUGCGAAAAACAACUUUGAUUUGGUGUUUUUGUUUCGUUGGCUGGUUUGGGUUUUUUUGUUUGGUUAUUUUUUUGUGGGUUGGUUGGUUUGUUGAUUUUUUUUAAUUAUUAUUUUUAAGAUUCUAAUUCUAGGCUGAAAGUACAAGGCCCGUGUUCCCAUCUCUUUUCCUGUGCUGGCAUUGCCAACGAGGCUGCUUUUGGCUCUACAGAGGAGGACACAGUAAACAACUAAGAAAGUCGGUUUUGGGAUUGAGUACCUCCAUCGGGAAGAGCAGUGAUGAGCAGAGCAUGACUUGAGAUGCAGAAGAGAACAGCCUGGAGCUGGAGAGCCAGGCUGGGAGGAAGGAAGCUGACAUCAACUAAGAUUAAAUUUGCUUGGGUUUGCCUGGAAAGCAACCCGGUAUUUAGUAAAGAAAGUCUUUGCUCCUGCUUCCUUUUCAACCAUCUCAGCACCUUAAAGAGGGCAACAUACUUUAAAAGGAUGUACUGUAUCUUUGCCGGUCUCCGCUAAAGUGAGCGGUGGAUAUAUGAGUGUUACAGGUUCGCCUGUGAGAGACUUCUGGACACUGGCAUUCUUUUAAAUGGGAUUGGUUUCUAAGUCAUGUAUGGCUCUCUCUCAGGAGCAUGGGUGCCAUAUGUGAUAAACACAGCUACAAAACGAGCAUCCCAGAUAUUCGUCCUUGAAGCUGAAUUUUCAGAGCUGAAGGAAUAGUUUGAAGCUGAAGUGUGGUCUUCCAGGCUGGUUUUGAGAAUUACAGAACCUAAACCAUGGCUUAUGCGUGUCACUUCUUGCCUUGAAAAAUAAAAACCCGCUUUUGAAAGUAUCUGAAUAUGCA